This 73-nucleotide transfer RNA is filed under the name Metallococcus carri. It matches the Rfam family "tRNA". Rfam says of the family: Transfer RNA (tRNA) molecules are approximately 80 nucleotides in length. Their secondary structure includes four short double-helical elements and three loops (D, anti-codon, and T loops). Further hydrogen bonds mediate the characteristic L-shaped molecular structure. tRNAs have two regions of fundamental functional importance: the anti-codon, which is responsible for specific mRNA codon recognition, and the 3' end, to which the tRNAs corresponding amino acid is attached (by aminoacyl-tRNA synthetases). tRNAs cope with the degeneracy of the genetic code in two manners: having more than one tRNA (with a specific anti-codon) for a particular amino acid; and 'wobble' base-pairing, i.e. permitting non-standard base-pairing at the 3rd anti-codon position. Lineage: Bacteria; Bacillati; Actinomycetota; Actinomycetes; Micrococcales; Dermacoccaceae. RNAcentral also lists the same sequence under 3 other names. The record is from Rfam by way of RNAcentral.
GGGCCUGUAGCUCAGUUGGUAGAGCACCGCGUUUACACCGCGGUUGUCGUCGGUUCGAGGCCGGCCGGGCCCA